This 32-nucleotide ribosomal RNA is filed under the name Stereophaedusa gouldi. RNAcentral describes it as "Phaedusa gouldi partial 5.8S rRNA". The record is from RNAcentral. Lineage: Eukaryota; Metazoa; Mollusca; Gastropoda; Stylommatophora; Clausiliidae.
AAAAAAAAAAAAAAAAAAAACCCCAAAAAAAA